RNAcentral lists this long non-coding RNA (224 nucleotides) under Lathyrus oleraceus (garden pea). RNAcentral's name for it is "Pisum sativum (pea) long non-coding RNA (PSAT_LNC010751)". The record is from RNAcentral. Lineage: Eukaryota; Viridiplantae; Streptophyta; Magnoliopsida; Fabales; Fabaceae.
AUGGUAGAGGUCUCCGAUAACAAGAACAUAACCGGUUUGGGUUUCCAGCAAGGUUGUCAACUGUCAGGUCUGAUGAUGCGCAACUCAGCUUCUGUAGCGGAGGGUUCAUUAUGGCAAUGAACAACACUUAGAUGAUGUGCUAAAGGAUGACGAAGAGGAAGACUUCACCAAUUUUGUGACGCAUGGAAAAGCUUGCAACAAUUGGACUGUUGUUGAUAUUCCUG